UCGAACGAGAGAGAAGGAGCUUGCUUCUUCGAUCGAGUGGCGAACGGGUGAGUAACGCGUGAGGAACCUGCCUCAAAGAGGGGGGACAACAGUUGGAAACGACUGCUAAUACCGCAUAAGCCCACGGGUCGGCAUCGACCAGGGGGGAAAAGGAGUGAUCCGCUUUGAGAUGGCCUCGCGUCCGAUUAGCUAGUUGGUGAGGUAAUGGCCCACCAAGGCGACGAUCGGUAGCCGGACUGAGAGGUUGAACGGCCACAUUGGGACUGAGACACGGCCCAAACUCC
Molecule: ribosomal RNA, 284 nt
Filed under: uncultured Faecalibacterium sp.
Lineage: Bacteria; Bacillati; Bacillota; Clostridia; Eubacteriales; Oscillospiraceae
Description: partial 16S ribosomal RNA
Rfam family: Bacterial small subunit ribosomal RNA
Source: RNAcentral